UACGUAGGGUGCGAGCGUUAAUCGGAAUUACUGGGCGUAAAGCGUGCGCAGGCGGUCUUGCAAGACAGGUGUGAAAUCCCCGGGCUUAACCUGGGAACUGCACUUGUGACUGCAAGGCUGGAGUGCGGCAGAGGGGGAUGGAAUUCCGCGUGUAGCAGUGAAAUGCGUAGAUAUGCGGAGGAACACCGAUGGCGAAGGCAAUCCCCUGGGCCUGCACUGACGCUCAUGCACGAAAGCGUGGGGAGCAAACAGG
RNAcentral lists this ribosomal RNA (253 nucleotides) under uncultured bacterium. RNAcentral describes it as "partial 16S ribosomal RNA". It matches the Rfam family "Bacterial small subunit ribosomal RNA", at positions 524 to 776 of the family's 1533-position model. The record is from RNAcentral.